Molecule: ribosomal RNA, 440 nt
Filed under: uncultured bacterium
Lineage: Bacteria
Description: partial 16S ribosomal RNA
Rfam family: Bacterial small subunit ribosomal RNA
Source: RNAcentral
CCUACGGGAGGCAGCAGUGGGGAAUAUUGCACAAUGGGGGAAACCCUGAUGCAGCGACGCCGCGUGAGUGAAGAAGUAACUCGGUGUGUAAAGCUCUAUCAGCAGGGAAGAAAAUGACGGUACCUGAUUAAGAAGCCCCGGCUAACUACGUGCCAGCAGCCGCGGUAAUACGUAGGGGGCAAGCGUUAUCCGGAUUUACUGGGUGUAAAGGGGGCGUAGACGGCAGUGCAAGUCUGGAGUGAAAGGCGGGGGCCCAACCCCGGGACUGCUCUGGAAACUGUACGGCUGGAGUGCAGGAGGGGUAGGUGGAAUUCCUGGUGUAGCGGUGAAAUGCGUAGAUAUUAGGAGGAACACCAGUGGCGAAGGCGGCCUACUGGACUGUAACUGACGUUGAGGCCCGAAAGCGUGGGGAGCAAACAGGAUUAGAUACCCCUGUAGUC